RNAcentral lists this transfer RNA (69 nucleotides) under Sphaerodactylus townsendi. RNAcentral describes it as "tRNA-Thr". Lineage: Eukaryota; Metazoa; Chordata; Lepidosauria; Squamata; Sphaerodactylidae. The record is from RNAcentral.
GCCGUGGUUCAGUGGCAAAGCAGCUGCUUGGUUUGCUGAAGGUCCCGGGUUCAGUUCCCAGCAUCUGCA